CCCAGCUACUUGAGAAGCUGAAGUAGGAGGAUCACUUGAGCCUGAAAGAAUUGAGGCUGCAAUGAGCUGUUAUCAUGCCCUAGGUCCCUUGGGUUUCUAAGUUAGAUACAUGCAAUCAGCAUACCCAAAUCCUUAGCCCUGCACUGUCAGACUAUAUUUAAUAUAUCUAAGGCUCUAGACAGCAGUGAGAAAAAGCUUUGAGGUUGGAGCACCAAUUAGGAAGGUGAGGAGACUAGGGCAUAAAGAGGAAAUCAGAUCUGCUAGACAAGACAUUACAUAGGCUUAAUAGGGACCUAUUUUUGCUUCUGAGACAUGAUGUCUCUUGUGGUGAAGACCUGAACUAAUUAUCAAAAUGGAGGGAAAUAUAAUUUCUAGUAUUUGGAAGCUGUCCACGAUCCCAUGGUUCUCUGUAUAAUUCAUAUGAUUCUAAAUAUAAAACUACAUUGAAAGUAUUCUAAUGCUUCAGGAAAUUGAAAGUAAUUUUGAAAACCUUUCUCCUUUCUAGUUGCAGAAGUCUCAGAAGUUUUUAUUUUGAGAAUUGACACUUUACCUUCCCGUGGCCUUGAAGAGGAAGGAGAGGAAGGACAGCAGGGUUACCUCACCAGUCCAGCUCCAGCACCCCCUCACCCCCUUCCCAGGUACCUGUCUGACUGCAGCAGGAGAUUCUAGCACAGAGGGUGCCAGCAAGCAGGGGUGCCCAGAGGGUUUCUCAUUUGAAAGGUGUUUACUGUUAGGGGAGAGUGGGAGGACAGACGGGACAGGCACGGGUGGGCAGAGCAUAGGUACUAGGAAUCUGCAAACCACAGACAAGAAGAAAGUGAAAGUAAAGACCUGAGGGUUUGCUGUAAGCUGCAUUAGCAGGAGGAGCACUGGGCCUGUGGGAGUGGACACGUGUGUCUCCUUCCAGGGGCUUCUGCCACAGCCUCAGCCCCAGACAUCUCAAGGCUCAGUAUGUGUGUCUGUCUGCCAGUGCACCCCAGGGGGGCCUCACAGUGAGGCUUCCUCUGCCUGGGUUCCUCCUGGCAUGGGCUUCAGUUUUCCCCUCAACCCUGCAGCCUACCAGAAGACACAAGCCAAAGCUGGUAGGGACCUCCACUCUGGGUACUGUCCCUGCCCAUCCCCUCUGGCAGUUGCUUUCCUAAUUGAAGGGUACAGGUGAAGUGCUCAGGAUGUUCUUGGUGGGCGUAUUUCCUCCGGGGGGGGUGGCAUAAAAACCACAGCCUUUUAGAAGCCUCUGUUUCUUUCCUUGACUGGCACUUUAAAAGGUGUGUGCUCUACUACCCUUAUCAGUAGGAGAGGGAGGCUCUGUGAUCCUCCUUUAUUCUCCCAUCUUUCCACCGGGGUCUAAUACAUUUAACAAGCCUAUGAAAAGGCUGCCUACCUCAUGCCAUUUUCUGACUGUUAUUCAAAGUGAAGGACAUCUGAAAAAAGGUAUUACAUUACCUACAGCCUGGGGCGGAGGGGGGAGGGAAUAAUUUAGUACAAGGAAUUAGGAGGCAUUUCUUCUCUUUUGACAGGCUGAAAGGCUUCCUAGGUGAGGAGAGAUUUCCAUCGCUGGUUGAAGGAAGGGAAAAGGCUGAGUGGGAGGUGCAAGGGCUGCUAAUCUGAAAAUUACCGGAAUUUCCUCAAUUUCCAGUCUUCAGAAAAUGCCUGCUGCACAAGGAGAGGGUGGUGAGAAUCCAGUGAGAUAAUCCUCAUGGAAGGGUUUGGAGAACCUUCGAAUACUUCCCCGGAGUGAGGGGCAAUGACAAUUCGAGUCCACGAUUAGAAAAAAAAAAAAAAUGGCCCUUAUCACUAGAAGAAUUCACAAAGAGGCUGGGUGAGCCUGUGCCAGGGUGAUGAGUGGGAGAACCCACUCUGGGUGGGGGAUGGACCAGCUGGCCCGUAAGGCCUGUCUCCCCCUGGCCCCUAAGGCCUGUCUCCCAACUUCCAUGUGCCCUUGUCACAGGGACCCUGAUAAAAGCUCCCACUGUGCCUGGGUUUCUGUUGUGCUCAGAGGAGGGAAGAAACAAUGAGCUCAGCUUGGCCAGAGGACAGGGCUCAUUUUGCUCUGUCACUUGCAGAGGCCUCUCCCCAAGCAGCAAACUACCAGGCAGGAGCAGCCACAUUGUCUGUGUGGCCCAGUACAAAAUGAAAAUGCAACUCCCUGUUCAAAGAGCAUUACGAAUUUCAAGUUGGCAACAGAAGAGCAGUAAAACACAAGCACCUCAUGAAGCCUGCCCUGUCACGAGGACCAUGAAGGAGGAAAUGAGGAAUGGGAAGGAGCCAGGCCCGUGGAGGUGGUCCAUGUCCCCUCAUUGUCCCUCCUGCCAAGGCACUGCACAGGAUGCUCUUAGAGAGGAGGAGAUGAGAGUAGCAAACUGUAGGGUGUGGAAGCUUAGCCCGCCAAGGCAUCCCAGAAUUGUGCCCUGAAGUCGAGGAGACCAGGCAUCCACCGACCAUCCCCUGGUGAUUAAGGGCUGCCCCUGCAGUGGGUGGAAAAGGCUCCCGUGGCACCAGAGAAGCCACAAGGCCCAAAGCUGAAAGGCUCAAGGUGUGGGAAAGAUGAUGCCCGGGGCGAGCGUGAGUCCCAUGGAGCAGGAGCCACCUGCCACAGGACAGCUGAGCACUGAGCCAAGGGAACAUGGCCAGGGGCACCUAAGACAUCUGCACAGGGGCCACCAGACUUCCUGAGGAACCAACCUCCCAGGGCAGCAUGGGGUGGGACCGCAAGGUCUGUGGACAAAAUAACAUUUGCACUGCUCUGUGAAUUAACGUGACCUUCCUUGCCUCAAUGA
Macaca mulatta (Rhesus monkey) is the source of this 2777-nucleotide non-coding RNA. Lineage: Eukaryota; Metazoa; Chordata; Mammalia; Primates; Cercopithecidae. The record is from RefSeq and is a predicted model, not a curated record.